Molecule: long non-coding RNA, 743 nt
Filed under: Linum usitatissimum (flax)
Lineage: Eukaryota; Viridiplantae; Streptophyta; Magnoliopsida; Malpighiales; Linaceae
Description: long non-coding RNA (LUSI_LNC006026)
Source: RNAcentral
AAAAGAGAAAACAAUAUUCUUCGAAGAAAUCCUAAUCUCAACAUGUCGAUUUGUCCUUGGCCAACCGUGGCGGAAACCUUUGCUUCAAUCACCUUGCAUACGCUCUGAAUCUCCGAAAAGUCACCUUACUCCAAACUCUGGUUCGUCAAAACUCAAAACUGUUAUCUAGGGUUUUGUGAAGAAGUAUGCCUAAUUGGUGAUGGAAAAGAGACUAAAUAUCCCGGCAGAGAGAGCACAUCAUAUGCUCUGCCUUAUUACAUAUUCCCCCCCAAAACCAACAGUAGUCAGAGCACAUCCAUGGCUAUGCUCUCGUAUGAAACAUCGUGCUUCCCGGGAGCACGGUGCAGUCUCCUACCGAAUUGACAUUCCUCCGUUCUAACCUGCUUCCGACUUCCGUUUAUGCUCCCCCUCAAUCCGAUGCGUAAUUUAACACCUGAAAAUACACAAAAAAUGCAGGAACAAUGUAAUAGAGCCUAGAGACAAAAUUACAUGCACAAGACACUGGAAUAUAAUCACAUAUACAAUAAAUUUCGUUUUAGACGGGUGAUUGCACCAAUAAUCAAGUAUCAAUCAUAAAGAUCAUGUCAGUGUUUGAACAAAUCAUAGAGAGGCUGGCUGACCUCCUAUUUAAUGCAGUCGUCGGCACGUCUUGGAACUUUGUAUAUAACGGACGCUUGUGAAACAAGUAAUAACUAGUUUCUAUGGAGUACUGGAGAAUCAACGUUGAGGAUCGGUCAACUUAC